Molecule: small nucleolar RNA, 83 nt
Filed under: Paxillus involutus ATCC 200175
Lineage: Eukaryota; Fungi; Basidiomycota; Agaricomycetes; Boletales; Paxillaceae
Description: Small nucleolar RNA SNORD24
Rfam family: Small nucleolar RNA SNORD24
About the family: U24 is a member of the C/D class of snoRNA which contain the C (UGAUGA) and D (CUGA) box motifs. C/D box snoRNAs have been shown to act as methylation guides for a number of RNA targets.
Source: Rfam by way of RNAcentral
UUUACAUGAUGUUAUCUUUUAAUAUUUGCUACUUCAGAGGGUUCGCCCGAUGAGACAAUUUUUCCACCAAGAUCUCUGAUUCA